CGGGUGAUAGCGCAGCCUGGUAGCGCAUCUGGUUUGGGACCAGAGGGUCGUGGGUUCGAAUCCCUCUCGCCCGA
RNAcentral lists this transfer RNA (74 nucleotides) under Opitutales bacterium. Its description in RNAcentral is "tRNA-Pro". It matches the Rfam family "tRNA". From Rfam's summary of the family: Transfer RNA (tRNA) molecules are approximately 80 nucleotides in length. Their secondary structure includes four short double-helical elements and three loops (D, anti-codon, and T loops). Lineage: Bacteria; Pseudomonadati; Verrucomicrobiota; Opitutia; Opitutales. The record is from RNAcentral.